GAGUUUGAUCCUGGCUCAAGAUGAACGCUGGCGGCGUGCUUAACACAUGCAAGUCGAACGAAGAAGUUUUAGUUUACUAGAACAACUGAGUGGCGGACGGGUGAGUAACGCGUGGGCAACCUGCCCCAUACCGGGGGAUAACAGCCGGAAACGGCUGCUAAUACCGCAUACGCCCAGGAGGCUGCAUAGCUUCCUGGGGAAAACUCCGGUGGUAUGGGAUGGGCCCGCGUCUGAUUAGCUCGUUGGCGGGGUAACGGCCCACCAAGGCAACGAUCAGUAGCCGGCCUGAGAGGGCGGCCGGCCACAUUGGGACUGAGACACGGCCCAGACUCCUGCGGGAGGCAGCAGUGGGGAAUAUUGCACAAUGGGGGAAACCCUGAUGCAGCGACGCCGCGUGAGCGAUGAAGUAUCUCGGUAUGUAAAGCUCUAUCAGCAGGGAAGAAAGUGACAGUACCUGACUAAGAAGCCCCGGCUAACUACGUGCCAGCAGCCGCGGUAAUACGUANGGAGCGAGCGUUAUCCGGAAUUAUUGGGUGUAAAGGGUGCGUAGACGGGAAAGCAAGUUAGUUGUGAAAUCCCUCGGCUUAACUGANGAACUGCAACUAAAACUACUUUUCUUGAGUGCAGGAGAAGUAAGUGGAAUUCCUAGUGUAGCGGUGAAAUGCGUAGAUAUUAGGAGGAACACCAGUGGCGAAGGC
RNAcentral lists this ribosomal RNA (698 nucleotides) under uncultured bacterium. RNAcentral describes it as "bacterial SSU rRNA". It matches the Rfam family "Bacterial small subunit ribosomal RNA", at positions 9 to 722 of the family's 1533-position model. The record is from RNAcentral.